GGGGGGGCGGUGACGCGCGGUGACGCACAGAGCCGUUAACGGUCCCUCGGCCGCGCUGAGGGGACAGGGGUGGCGGAGGGGGACACACGCCGGUCUGCGGCACGGAGAAGGCUGUGGUUACCGGGCGCUGCCCCCUGCCUGAAGGCCGGCGGUGAGGAGCCGUGAGGGGGAGCGGCGCGAAGCUGCCGGGGCCAGUGGGGUGUUCCGCCUGAGGGGACACUGAGGGAGGGGCUCGGAGAGCGGCGCGGGGGCGCUUAAAACCAAGCGAAAGAGGGCAAAAAGAGCCAUCGUGUUACGUCAGUGCGGUGCCUCCCAGCUGAGGGAUCGCUGUCCCACAGAGAAGUGCCCGGAAUUCCCCUGCCGAGCUCCCUCCAGGGAUGGCGGAACCCGGGCAGCCCGGCCCUGAGGAGAGAGCUUCUCCUUCCCAGUGAAGGGACAGAGCCGGGGAGAAAACCAAAGAGUUUAGUUUUUCCAAAUUCAGUGGUGGCAGGAGAUGAAACACAGGCUGGGAAGGGGAAAGCCACAGCCUGGAUCCCCCUGGGUUCUUGGUGAGGUGAAAAGCGUGGAGGGAGCGGAGCUGCUGCUUCACCCUGGUUACUGACACCGGGGGUGGAUGCCUUUGUUUCCAAGCAUGUGUUCAGAGAGAAACACUACAGUAUUCCAAACCUGAGAGGGCAGGAAAAACAACAUGGAUGAAAAAAUAAUAUUUCUCCAUCAGUGUGUGAUCGUAGGAGAUGGGAAACACUAGAUGAUGCUAUCAGAAAUACAGCUUUUUAAGGCUACAAGUCAUUCAUCAUACAAGUGUGUACUGUAAGAUGCUGUGUGGCUGUAGCCCUUGAUUAAAUGGGAAUGACCUGUUUCACCAAGCCAGCUGUUCCCUGCUGAAGAGUUGCCCAUUGUGAAUGUGUCGUUGCAGCACCCGCCAACGGGCGCCUCAGCUUCACCAUCGCAAACCUGGCCUUAAAACCCUGCAACUCAACCAUGGAAGACAAACGUUUUGACCUGAAAAGGAGAGUGUGCACCAGGAAUGUUCAUCCUUCAGAAAAUAAAAAAUUAUGCAAGAAAAUGUAUUAAUAGGACCAAAGUAACCAGUACUUAAGAGAGAAUUUAUGCUCUAAAUAUAGAGCUGUUUCGGCUAGGUCACUUGUAAACAUUAUUUUUGCAAACAUGGAGCUUUUAGAGCAAGUAACUGAGGGAAGAUGAAGGGUCAAGGCUCAGCUGCAUGGGUCUUUGCUUCACCCGCGGCUCUGUUCAUGUAACUGGCGAACGUCCACAGUGAGCCCAGUGGCCAAAUCUUUUCUGUGAGAUGAAAUAUGUAUGUGCUUGAGCAGCGCCAUGAGGCAGAUCUCAAUUUACAUAUAAAGGAAAUCAAGUGAGAAGUGACUUUUUGAAUGUGCUUGAGUGCUCAGCAAGAACUUGUGUCGACAACUGGUGUUGCAGAUGGCAUUUCCCUGCAUCUGACUUUUCCCAUUGCCUCAAACGAGAGAUUGAGACUCCUCGGGGAGCUCCAUUAGUACACGUGGGUUAUCGUAAUCCUGGUGCAGCACGUGCAGAAACCUCUCAGCAGCCGAGGAAGGUCAAUGUCAGCCAGAGAGUGAGCUGGAGAUGCUCAGCUUUGCUUCCCACCCGUGCGGCACAGCAUCUACUCCGCCAGCGCUGGAUGGUCCUUGCAAGACACCCUUAGGGAUACAAUCCUUCCUUUUAUUACAAGCCUUCCAGACCAAACGGCAGUGCUGACUCAAGCAAGUGUCAGUGCUUCCCCUCACCAUUGCCACAGCGUGAGGCCGGUACCCAAAAUCCUGCUGAAGGAGAAGCCACCGUUGCAGAAAUUGGAUGUGGCCUCAGCUCCAAGUUUGGCGAGAAUUCAGUUGACUUCAGAACACUGAGGAUUUUGUUAUUUAUCAAUCUCUGCAGCUGAAGAGCCAGGAACAUUCUGAAGCAUCUCUGUUACAGAAGAGGAUUGUUCAUUCGUUUAAAAACAACAACCACCACAAGCCCAAGGUUCUGCCCCGUUUGUGUCUGUCGUCUUUUGACCAAAAACGUCAGCUGCUGCCUUUCCGAGACAAAUAAAUACUCUGUAGUCAGAAGAAAACCCUAUUCUGCCACGGAAAAACCCCUAUUUUGUAGUACUGCUGCUUAUUUCCCAUUUGGCCAAC
Long non-coding RNA from Columba livia (rock pigeon), 2156 nucleotides. RefSeq lists it as uncharacterized. The transcript is spliced from 5 exons. The record is from RefSeq and is a predicted model, not a curated record. NCBI's taxonomy places the organism in Eukaryota, Metazoa, Chordata, Aves, Columbiformes, Columbidae.